RNAcentral lists this unclassified non-coding RNA (520 nucleotides) under uncultured Glomus. Its description in RNAcentral is "bacterial SSU rRNA". It matches the Rfam family "Eukaryotic small subunit ribosomal RNA", at positions 569 to 1094 of the family's 1831-position model. The record is from RNAcentral. Lineage: Eukaryota; Fungi; Glomeromycota; Glomeromycetes; Glomerales; Glomeraceae.
AGCAGCCGCGGUAAUUCCAGCUCCAAUAGCGUAUAUUAAAGUUGUUGCAGUUAAAAAGCUCGUAGUUGAAUUUCGGGAUCAAUAUAUUGGUCAUGCUUAGGUAUGUACUGGUAUUAUUGAUUUCUCCCUUCUGAAGAACCAUGAUGUCAUUAAUUUGAUGUCGUGGGGAAUCAGGACUGUUACUUUGAAAAAAUUAGAGUGUUUAAAGCAGGCUUUCGCUUGAAUACAUUAGCAUGGAAUAAUGAAAUAGGACGUUUGAUUCUAUUUUGUUGGUUUCUAGGAUCGACGUAAUGAUUAAUAGGGAUAGUUGGGGGCAUUAGUAUUCAAUUGUCAGAGGUGAAAUUCUUGGAUUUAUUGAAGACUAACUACUGCGAAAGCAUUUGCCAAGGAUGUUUUCAUUAAUCAAGAACGAAAGUUGGGGGAUCGAAGACGAUCAGAUACCGUCGUAGUCUUAACCAUAGACGAUGCCGACCAGGGAUCGGCGGAUGUUGCUCUUAGGACUCCGCCGGCACCUUAUGGG